AUUGAACGCUGGCGGCAGGCCUAACACAUGCAAGUCGAGCGGAUGAAGGGAGCUUGCUCCUGGAUUCAGCGGCGGACGGGUGAGUAAUGCCUAGGAAUCUGCCUGGUAGUGGGGGAUAACGUCCGGAAACGGGCGCUAAUACCGCAUACGUCCUGAGGGAGAAAGUGGGGGAUCUUCGGACCUCACGCUAUCAGAUGAGCCUAGGUCGGUUUAGCUAGUUGGUGGGGUAAAGGCCUACCAAGGCGACUAUCCGUAACUGGUCUGAGAGGAUGAUCAGUCACACUGGAACUGAGACACGGUCCAGACUCCUACGGGAGGCAGCAGUGGGGAAUAUUGGACAAUGGGCGAAAGCCUGAUCCAGCCAUGCCGCGUGUGUGAAGAAGGUCUUCGGAUUGUAAAGCACUUUAAGUUGGGAGGAAGGGCAGUAAGUUAAUACCUUGCUGUUUUGACGUUACCAACAGAAUAAGCACCGGCUAACUUCGUG
This 484-nucleotide ribosomal RNA is filed under the name uncultured bacterium. RNAcentral describes it as "partial 16S ribosomal RNA". It matches the Rfam family "Bacterial small subunit ribosomal RNA", at positions 30 to 507 of the family's 1533-position model. The record is from RNAcentral.